This is a microRNA precursor of Mandrillus leucophaeus (drill), 87 nucleotides long. Lineage: Eukaryota; Metazoa; Chordata; Mammalia; Primates; Cercopithecidae. The record is from Ensembl.
UUAUAUUAGGUUGGUGCAAAAGUAAUUGCAGUUUUUGCCAGUAAAAGUAAUUGCAAAAGCCACCAUUACUUUUGUACCAACCUAAUA